This is a long non-coding RNA of Monodelphis domestica (gray short-tailed opossum), 899 nucleotides long. RefSeq lists it as uncharacterized. Lineage: Eukaryota; Metazoa; Chordata; Mammalia; Didelphimorphia; Didelphidae. The record is from RefSeq and is a predicted model, not a curated record.
CUUCUUUGUUCUUUGGAGUUCUGAGUUCAAAUUGGAGUGUGGUGAAGAAUCUGUUUACUGGACCUGAGACCUUGGACUUGCUCUUCACAAGUAGGAAGGGAUGUUUCAGAAAGAAGAUGAGAAACUCCUCUUCCCAGGAGGCCCUCAAUCAGAGCCUGAUUGACCACUUGCUGAAUAUAUCACAGUAAGGAUUUGUUUUCUGGCAUGGUUUGGACUAAAAGUCUGCUGAUGCUUCCAUUUUUAAGAAUCUGUUAUGUUCUUUCCAUAAAUGAAACCAUACUGAACUUUUGAUUAAAUGGAAAGUCCACAAGUUCUUCCUGGAGAAGCAAAUAAAGGAGCCAGAGUCAUUUUUAUCCUGUGCCUACAAACAAGAAACAUCAUUCAUUCAAUACAGGAUCAUCCUGCUAACAGUACUCAAGAUGACUGCAAGUAAAAAGAGUGCUAUGAAGACAACGGUAGCUCAUGCACCGAAGACUGGCAGAGAAUGAGACAGGAAUUCUACAAGUAACUUGACAGGGUCCUCUAAACUUAGACAAUAUGUAAUUUGAUACGUAGUAACUUUAAUGCAAGGGAAUCAGAAGGCAGACCUGGAAAAUAUGUUGUCAAGUAUGGUUUGAAAUUGAGAAAUCGAAGAAUCCCCAAACUUACAGGUUAUUCAGAAACCUCAUCUCUGUAUUUAAUGAAUACUGUCUUCGAGAAAGGACUCAAAAGUGGUAAAUUCAUGAAUUGUCAAAUGUUACAAAAAGUGAAAUUGACUGUAUCCUAACAGAUAGGAAUUGACUAUUUACUGAUGUGAGUCUUUUCCAAAUCAAACAUCUGUGUUCUGCCAGGUAAUUUAAUGUUUUGAACAUAGAUUACUUUCAAAAUAGAAGAAAGAAUAAAUAUAUAUUGUGAUUAUA